GGGGACGACCUGGCUUCGACGUGGGGUACAAAACUUAAGGUGCAUGCCGAGUAGGUUAGUUCUCUCGUAAAAAAGACUGACAAAUUAUAGUUGCAAACGAUAACAACUACGCACUAGCAGCUUAAUAACCUGUAAAUGCCGUCCGACCAAAGCCGUGCUUAUGCGUUUGGUAUCGGGCGUCGACUCUCAUAAGCAAAGCCUGUAGCGUGCUUGGCGCCAAAGGACGAAAAUUUUAUCAAGAUCGCGAACUGUUUUCCCUGUUCAUCGGGUAGCAUUUCGUUAAAAUAAUAGAUGAAAUAAGCAUGUAGAGCUGAAAGCAGCGGUCUUGCGGACGCGGGUUCGAUUCCCGCCGUCUCCACCA
This 361-nucleotide transfer-messenger RNA is filed under the name Gammaproteobacteria bacterium. It matches the Rfam family "transfer-messenger RNA". Rfam says of the family: Bacterial tmRNA, also known as 10Sa RNA or SsrA, is named for its dual tRNA and mRNA-like properties. Its role is to liberate the mRNA from a stalled ribosome. To accomplish this part of the tmRNA is used as a reading frame that ends in a translation stop signal. The record is from RNAcentral. RNAcentral also lists the same sequence under 1 other name. Lineage: Bacteria; Pseudomonadati; Pseudomonadota; Gammaproteobacteria.